UAAUACAUGCAAGUCGAACGAGAAAGNGGCUUCGGCCAUGAGUACAGUGGCAAACGGGUGAGUAAUACAUAGGUAACUUACUUCGAGUUGGGGAUAACCUUCCGAAAGGAGGGCUAAUACCGAAUAAGACCACACAUCCCUCGGGAAGAGGGGUUAAAGGUGACCUCUAUUUAUAAGUUAUCGCUCGAAGAUAGGCCUAUGCACCAUCAGCUAGUUGGUAAGGUAACGGCUUACCAAGGCUUUGACGGUUAGCUGAUCUGAGAGGUUGAUCAGCCACACUGGAACUGAGACACGGUCCAGACUCCUACGGGAGGCAGCAGUAGGGAAUAUUGCGCAAUGGAGGAAACUCUGACGCAGCGACGCCGCGUGGGUGAUGAAGGUCUUCGGAUCGUAAAGCCCUGUCGGAAGGGAAGAAAAACGAUAUGGCUAAUAUCCAUAUCGCUUGACGGUACCUUUAAAGGAAGCACCGGCUAACUACGUGCCAGCAGCCGCGGUAAUACGUAGGGUGCUAGCGUUGUUCGGAAUCAUUGGGCGUAAAGCGCGUGUAGGUGGUCAGUAAAGUCGGGUGUGAAAGCCCUCGGCUCAACCGGGGAAGUGCAUUCGAAACUAACUGGCUAGAAGAUGGUAGAGGGAGGUGGAAUUCCUAGUGUAGAGGUGAAAUUCGUAGAUAUUAGGAGGAAUACCGGAGGCGAAGGCGGCCUCCUGGGCCAUUCUUGACACUGAGACGCGAAAGCGUGGGUAGCAAACAGGAUUAGAUACCCUGGUAGUCCACGCCGUAAACGAUGGGCACUAGGUGUCGGGGGUAUCCACUCCCUCGGUGCCGCCGCUAACGCAUUAAGUGUCCCGCCUGGGAAGUACGGUCGCAAGAUUAAAACUCAAAUGAAUUGACGGGG
Molecule: ribosomal RNA, 893 nt
Filed under: uncultured delta proteobacterium
Lineage: Bacteria; Deltaproteobacteria
Description: bacterial SSU rRNA
Rfam family: Bacterial small subunit ribosomal RNA
Source: RNAcentral